RNAcentral lists this ribosomal RNA (253 nucleotides) under uncultured bacterium. RNAcentral describes it as "partial 16S ribosomal RNA". It matches the Rfam family "Bacterial small subunit ribosomal RNA", at positions 524 to 776 of the family's 1533-position model. The record is from RNAcentral.
UCCGGGGGGGGCAAGCGUUGUUCGGAAUUACUGGGCGUAAAGGGCUCGUAGGUGGCCAACUAAGUCAGACGUGAAAUCCCUCGGCUUAACCGGGGAACUGCGUCUGAUACUGGAUGGCUUGAGUUUGGGAGAGGGACGCGGAAUUCCUGGUGUAGCGGUGAAAUGCGUAGAUAUCAGGAGGAACACCGGUGGCGAAGGCGGCUAUCUGGACAGAGUCUGACGCUGAGGCGCGAAAGCUAGGGGAGCAAACAGG